GACGAACUGUGCGAACGUUAUUCGGAAUCACUGGGCUUACAGGGUGCGUAGGCGGCCUGCUAGGUAGGGUGUGAAAUCCCCCGGCCCAACCGGGGAACUGCGCUCUAAACUAACAGGCUUGAGUGAGCUAGGGGUGCACGGAACUUCCAGUGGAGCGGUGAAAUGUGUUGAUAUUGGAAGGAACACCGGAGGCGAAAGCGGUGCACUGGGGCUUAACUGACGCUGAGGCACGAAAGCCAGGGUAGCGAACGGG
This 253-nucleotide ribosomal RNA is filed under the name uncultured bacterium. Its description in RNAcentral is "partial 16S ribosomal RNA". It matches the Rfam family "Bacterial small subunit ribosomal RNA", at positions 524 to 776 of the family's 1533-position model. The record is from RNAcentral.